GGGAAUGUGGCUUAGUGGUAAAGUACUUGCCUAGUAUGCAUGAAGCCCUGAGUUCAAUUCCUCAGCACCA
This 70-nucleotide transfer RNA is filed under the name Dipodomys ordii (Ord's kangaroo rat). It matches the Rfam family "tRNA". Rfam says of the family: Transfer RNA (tRNA) molecules are approximately 80 nucleotides in length. Their secondary structure includes four short double-helical elements and three loops (D, anti-codon, and T loops). Lineage: Eukaryota; Metazoa; Chordata; Mammalia; Rodentia; Heteromyidae. The record is from Rfam by way of RNAcentral.